AGACAUCCAGUUAAAUUUGCAUUUCAGAUAAAUAAUUACUUUUUCUUAUGCACAUAUGCUAUGCAAUACUUGGGACAUACUUAUACUAAAAAAACCCAAUUUGUUGUUUGUUUGAAAUUCAAAUAUAACUGGGUGUCCU
This 139-nucleotide microRNA precursor is filed under the name Choloepus hoffmanni (Hoffmann's two-fingered sloth). RNAcentral describes it as "miRNA (ENSCHOG00000015839.1)". Lineage: Eukaryota; Metazoa; Chordata; Mammalia; Pilosa; Megalonychidae. The record is from RNAcentral.